Saimiri boliviensis boliviensis (Bolivian squirrel monkey) is the source of this 899-nucleotide non-coding RNA. Lineage: Eukaryota; Metazoa; Chordata; Mammalia; Primates; Cebidae. The record is from RefSeq and is a predicted model, not a curated record.
GAGGAGCGCAAGGAGGGGCGGAGAGAGGGGCGCAGGGGGCGUAGGAGGCAUAGGAGUUCUGGGUCCGGCGUGCAGGUCCCUACAACGCAGAGUAGUACUGGAGUUCGUGGAGCUGAGAGACAGCCGCCGACUCUGGGCCCGAGCAGGAAACCUAAGGGCCGGGAAGCUAAUAGAGCGGUCCUUUGCCUGGCGCCUGAACCUCGCCAGUCUUCGUCGCCCCUCCCCUGCCAAUGCCUACCCCGCUCAUACCCAAGGGUGCGCUGUCCCUCUGGUCACUGUGAUCACUGUCCAUGGCCGCCAGCGAAUACCCACGCCGCGCUCAGAAGAGGGCCCUGAGGCCAUGCCCGCCGGUGAGGGUUGUGGCCGGGCUUCCGGGGUCGCGCGCUAGGUGGAGGGGACCUCUCUGGAAUCUGGAGGGCGCGGGACGCAGAUGCAGGAACGAGAGGGGAGAGCCGCACGUCCCUGGCAUGUUUGCCUUGCGUUAGUAAUGAAGAGAUCGAAGAGAACCUCAGUCUUCGAGGCUUUUCCCUUCCUGUGAGCCCCUUUGAAGCCAGCACCUUUUUUUCUUUCGCAGAACAAUUUCGGACCUCCUGGGUCUAUGCUAGGUAUAAGGUGUAUCUUUGUCCUCAGUCAAGUAGCAAAGAUAGACAUGUGAAUAAAUUUCGGCACUGUGAUGACUGCAACAGAAAGCAGCAUUAUGAGGUUGAAUGUAAAAGGAUAACAUUAGCGGCGGCAGGGGCCGGGAGAUGAAGGAAAGCUUCCUGAGGUAGGCGCUAGCGAAACUGAAGUUGGAGAGAGCAAGUGACAUUUGCUCAACUGCGUGUCCGAUAGAAAAAACUCCAGUGGUCCCUCACCUGACUGAGUGGCCCAGUCGGAGAUAAACGGAACAAGUACACUAA